AUACGUAGGUGGCGAGCGUUGUCCGGAAUUACUGGGUGUAAAGGGCGUGUAGGCGGGGAUGCAAGUCAGAUGUGAAAUACUAAGGCUUAACCUUGGGGCUGCAUCUGAAACUGUGUUUCUUGAGUGUCGGAGAGGAAAGCGGAAUUCCCAGUGUAGCGGUGAAAUGCGUAGAGAUUGGGAGGAACACCAGUGGCGAAGGCGGCUUUCUGGACGACAACUGACGCUGAGGCGCGAAAGCGUGGGGAGCAAACAGGAUUAGAUACCCUGGUAGUCCACGCCGUAAACGAUGGAUACUAGGUGUAGGAGGUAUCGACCCCUUCUGUGCCGGAGUUAACACAAUAAGCACUCCGCCUGGGGAGUACGGCCGCAAGGCUAAA
RNAcentral lists this ribosomal RNA (377 nucleotides) under uncultured bacterium. Its description in RNAcentral is "bacterial SSU rRNA". It matches the Rfam family "Bacterial small subunit ribosomal RNA", at positions 523 to 898 of the family's 1533-position model. The record is from RNAcentral.